Schistosoma margrebowiei is the source of this 46-nucleotide non-coding RNA. Lineage: Eukaryota; Metazoa; Platyhelminthes; Trematoda; Strigeidida; Schistosomatidae. The record is from Rfam.
ACCUUGCUGACGAGUGCCAAAUAGCACGAAACCCGGGUCCAAUGAU